Molecule: ribosomal RNA, 465 nt
Filed under: uncultured bacterium
Lineage: Bacteria
Description: partial 16S ribosomal RNA
Rfam family: Bacterial small subunit ribosomal RNA
Source: RNAcentral
CCUACGGGUGGCAGCAGUGGGGAAUAUUGCGCAAUGGGCGAAAGCCUGACGCAGCGACGCCGCGUGAGGGAUGAAGGUUUUCGGAACGUAAAGCUCUGUCAGAAGGGAAGAAGUUGCAUGGGGCCAAUCACCUGUGCAUUGACGGUACCUUCAAAGGAAGCACCGGCUAACUCCGUGCCAGCAGCCGCGUUAAUACGGAGGGUGCGUGCGUUAAUCGGAAUUACUGGGCGGAAAGCGAACGUAGGCUGGAUGGCAAGUCAAGGGUGAAAUCCCACGGCUCAUCCGUGGAACUGCCUUUGAAACUGGCAAACUGGAGUAUGUGAGAGGGCAGCGGAAUUCCUAGUGUAGGGGUGAAAGCCGUAGAUAUCAGGAGGAACAUCAGUGGCGAAGGCGGCCGCCUGGCACAAAACUGACGCUGAGGUGCGAAAGCGUGGGUAGCAAACAGGAUUAGAUACCCGAGUAGUC